UACGUAGGCAGCAAGCGUUGUUCGGCGUUACUGGGCGUAAAGAGUGCGUAGGCGGUCCUCUAAGUUUGGUGUGAAAUCUCCCGGCUCAACCGGGGGGGUGCGCCGGAGACUGGGGGGCUUGAGCAUGGGAGAGGUAAGCGGAAUUCCUGGUGUAGCGGUGAAAUGCGUAGAUAUCAGGAGGAACACCUGUGGUGUAGACAGCUUACUGGACCAUUGCUGACGCUGAGGCGCGAAAGCGUGGGUAGCAAACAGG
This 253-nucleotide ribosomal RNA is filed under the name uncultured bacterium. RNAcentral's name for it is "partial 16S ribosomal RNA". It matches the Rfam family "Bacterial small subunit ribosomal RNA", at positions 524 to 776 of the family's 1533-position model. The record is from RNAcentral.